This is a long non-coding RNA of Oncorhynchus tshawytscha (Chinook salmon), 1724 nucleotides long. NCBI's taxonomy places the organism in Eukaryota, Metazoa, Chordata, Actinopteri, Salmoniformes, Salmonidae. The record is from Ensembl.
UGAUAGCAGGGUAAGACCUAGCUGGCAUAGGGAGCGGGUUCAACCAUUGUGGUUCUGGCGGAGCUGAAAACAGCAUCGGUCCGGUCCGGGACCCAACGGUCUGCUGCUGCCCAGCCGACAUAGCCGACCAAUAGGAGGCCAGGUAAGCUGUCUCAUAUGACCCGAUUCAACAGAGUUCACUUGACUUCUUCCUUUUAGAGCGAGGGCCAUCCUUCAACCAAUAGACAGGCUCAAUUACUCAAUUACUAUUGCAACUGUUACUGUGUUUUCAACAGGGAUCACAUAGGUGAUACACACAAGAUAUGUUGGGAAAAAAGAAAGGUACAAGGACAAUUCAGAGACGGGUUCUGGGUCUUAGAGACAGUCGUUUUUUUGGGGGGGGCUUCCUUUAAUGCCUUUGACUCCCUUCUGAAAAGAACAGGCGUAAACUUCUAACAGACCGACUUCAGACACUAUGAUUAGAGUACAGUAUAUUGUUGUAGUAGUGCAUUAUUGCAGGGCAUGUGUCAGACAUACAGUCCAGACACACAGACAGAGUGAGUGAGUAAGUUUAGAGAGUUGCUGGGUGUUAAUUGAGGUACUUGAUCUGAAUCCAAUAGCGUCUGAUGCUGCGAGCUGACAGACUAAAAGGGUUGUGAAAUCAACAUCAGACACACACACACACACACACACACACACACACACACACACACACACACACACACACACACACACAGUGUAGUUACAAUUAACAAGCUGUGUCUGGGCAACCCGAUACACACUGACUAAGUACAGAGGGAGGAGGGAGUGAAUGAAAGAGAGGAAGAGAAGAGGGGACAAGAGAGGUAGGGUAGAGACAGAGUGGUAAAGGGAGAGAAAGGGGGAAGAAGGGUUGGUAACCUGGGUAACCUGGUUCUUCUAUCUUCUCCUCUCACACUUUCUCCUUCCACUUCUUUUUACUUGUCCUCUCAUCUUCCUUUCUCCCCUCCUGUCCUCUCUCCUCUCAUCCUCCUCUCUCCCCUUGUCCUCUCAUCCUCCUCUCUCCCCUCCUGUCCUCUCUCCUCUCAUCCUCAUCUCUCCCCCUCUCCUCUCAUCCUCCUCUCUCCCCCUGUCCUCUCUUUCCCCUCUAUUUCCCACUCUCCUCCACUCUCUCCUUUCUAUUAAUCUCCUCUUUCACCUCCCCACUCCUCCUCCUCUCCUCCCUCUCCUUAACUCUUGCAGGUGUUAUCUCUCUCUCUUAAGCGGAGGCAAUUACCCAUUGACCUAAUAAAUAAUGAAUCUGAUAGGCUCAUUAAUGAUUAAUGUUAAUUGCUGAUUUAGGUUUCCUUCAACACAAAAAGACACAAGGGAGGGGAGAAUGCCAACAACUCUAAGGUCAAAGAGUCUCGCUCACACGGUCACACACACACACACACACACACACACACACGCACACCGGGUUAGAUGAAUGUGACAGUGGUAGGGUUCAGGGUUAGGGUUAGAUGAAGGUGGUAGGGUUCAGGGUUAGGGUUAGAUGAAGGUGGUAGGGUUCAGGUUUAGGGUUAGAUGAAGGUGGUAGGGUUCAGGGUUAGGGUUAGAUGGAGGUGGUAGGGUUCAGGGUUAGAUGAAGGUGGUAGGGUUCAGGGUUAGGGUUAGAUGGAGGUGGUAGGGUUCAGGGCUAGAUGAAGGUGGUAGGGUUCAGGGUUAGAUGAAGGUGGUAGCGUUCAGGGUUAGGGUUAGAUGAAGGUGGUAUAGUUCAGAGUCAG